GACAAACGCUGGCGGCGUGCCUAAUGCAUGCAAGUCGAACGGACCCCUUCGGGGGUCAGUGGCGAACGGGUGCGUAACGCGUGGGAACCUACCGUCGGGUGGGGCAUACCCCGCCGAAAGGCGGGCUAAUUCCGCAUACGUUCCCCGGUCGGGAGACCGGGGAAGAAAGCCUUCCGGCGCCCGACGAGGGGCCUGCGUCCGAUUAGCUCGUUGGUAGGGUAACGGCCUACCAAGGCGAUGAUCGGUAGCCGGACUGAGAGGUCGGCCGGCCACACUG
Molecule: ribosomal RNA, 277 nt
Filed under: uncultured bacterium
Lineage: Bacteria
Description: partial 16S ribosomal RNA
Rfam family: Bacterial small subunit ribosomal RNA
Source: RNAcentral